CUCCUCUCUCUGCCCUCCCCCCUCUCAAAAUGAAUAAAUAAAUGUAAAAAGAAAAAAGAGGAAUGGAGGAAACACGAUGGAGGCAUAGAUGCAGAAAAGUGGGGAAAGCGUCAGGAAGAGUGGAAGAGGGACCCAAAUCUGAUGGAGAAAAGCCGCCCUGACUGGAGUUUUCUAGACACCAGGCCAUGCCAUGCACCCUGUAGGCUUUAUUUCAACCCUCAAAGCUGCCCCAUGAGGUGGGGUUAAAAUUAGCCCCAUUAUAGAGCUCUUCCUGCCCUUCGGUCCUGUCCCCAUGCUUUAAUAAUAAUAUAAAAAAAUUAGCCCCAUUAUUCAGAUAGAAACACUGAGGCUGGUGAGAGAGAGAAGUGACUCAUCCAAGAUAUAGUAGGUUGGAUGGUGCCCCCACACACACAUGAAAGAAAGAAAGGAAGGAAGGAAGGAAGGAAGGUUCCUCAAACCUGUGAAUGGGACCUAAUUUGGCCAAAAGGUUUUUGCAGCUGUGACUAAGUUAAUGACCUUGAGAGCAGAUCCUCCUGCAUUAUCUGCCUGGACCCUAAAUCCAAUGACAAGUGUCCUUAUGAGAGAAAGGCAGAGGGAGAUCCGAGAUGACAACGUGAAGACAGAGGCACAGAUUGGAGUGAUGUGGCCGCAAGCCAAGAAAUGCCAGGAGCCACCAGAAGCUGGGAGAUGCGAGGAAGGAUCCUCUCCUGGAGCCUUCAGAGGGACCAUGGCCCUGCCGACACCUUGAUUUGGGCCUCCGGGCCUCCGGAGCUGUGAGAGAAUAAAUUUCUGUUGUUUUCAGUCA
Molecule: long non-coding RNA, 805 nt
Organism: Herpailurus yagouaroundi (jaguarundi)
Lineage: Eukaryota; Metazoa; Chordata; Mammalia; Carnivora; Felidae
Exons: 2
Source: RefSeq, a predicted model, not a curated record